UGCCAAUCCUGCCACUGGCAAUCUCUGGGAC
This 31-nucleotide non-coding RNA is filed under the name Rattus norvegicus (Norway rat). The record is from RNAcentral. Lineage: Eukaryota; Metazoa; Chordata; Mammalia; Rodentia; Muridae.